UUUCCGACAAUAGCUGCUACAUGU
Molecule: non-coding RNA, 24 nt
Filed under: Arabidopsis thaliana (thale cress)
Lineage: Eukaryota; Viridiplantae; Streptophyta; Magnoliopsida; Brassicales; Brassicaceae
Source: RNAcentral